GAAUGGAUUACAAGGGGACAAGUUGGUUGGAGCUACCGGUGGCACACCAGGGAUGGGGGAAUCUGAUUUUUUUUUUCUUUUUCAAUUUUAAAAGAUAUACAAUUUUUGUUAUAAUGAUUUUUCCAUUUUUAAAAAUAGAAAGACUAAAAUACCCUUAAAAUAGAUGGAAAAUUGGAUGGUAUUAAAGUCAGAUGACAAAUCAUGAAUUUUGAAAAAUUAAGGUGACA
Molecule: long non-coding RNA, 227 nt
Filed under: Prunus persica (peach)
Lineage: Eukaryota; Viridiplantae; Streptophyta; Magnoliopsida; Rosales; Rosaceae
Description: long non-coding RNA (PPER_LNC007744)
Source: RNAcentral